AUGGUUGAUACUUAAGACAGAGCUAGUAAGUAAGAAAUCCUAGUCAUGGGCCAGUAGUAUUGUAACUAAUGUAAGACUCUUUGUGUGUAUUUGGGGGCCCUAAUGUGGCAUCGGAAUUCAGGCAGCUGUCAGAAAGAGUUAUCGUUACAGGGUGGUGUUUUGUUUUGUUCUGCAAAAACAAGGCCUAAAAAGUUCCACCAGUGUUGAUGACUUCAUGCCUCUGCUGGAAGUCAUCAUUCAAAGAAUGCAUGUGUGCCUGUGCAGACCUCACUAGGAGAAGGACAUCACCAAACUAGUAUCAUGAGAUAAUAACAAAGGGAAGGAAGAGUCAAACAAUACCUCUUGGUGUUUGAAGGUUGUCCUGUCAAGGUUGAAAUCAGAGCUAACAACAUCCAUAGGUCAUCCCAUGUGAUCUUUUACAGGUAUUCUAGGAUGGGUAAAGGACAAGACUUUGCUUCCCUCUCCAUCAGAUGUAGUGAUGGUUGCUGUUGUAAAUUUAAGAAAAGCAGCAUGAGACAGAAAGACCAUUCCACAGGAUUCAAGCAGAGGGGCUUUUUAUUAGGGGAAAAGGAUUGUAAAAAGGGAAAAGGGGAGGGGAAAGACCAGCCUCCAGGGACCGAAGAAACAGGAGAGAGGAAAGGAGAGAGAGAGACAGAGACAGAGACACAGAGAGAGACAGAGACAGAGACAUAGAGAGACAGAGGAGAGAAAGCACAGGUGGUCCUCUUAGUGGCAGCAGUUGAGGGUGUAUCUUGUCAAAACUCCAAAGGCAGGCCAGUAAAAUUCCUAAAUACUAAUAGUUGCUACUGGCAUUACAAUUACCAUGCAAUUCUCAAGAAUUAGAGGUUCUAGGAGAAUUGGAUGCUGAGACUUUACUAAUGAAUCCAAAAAGCAUUCAUUAAGAUCCUGUCAUUUUUUAAAUGAGUAACAACUUCCUAAUUUUAUUAUGACAAACCAGUCCAGAUGAAAGUGCUUUGUACAUCUAAGACCUUUUGACCUUGGAGUGCUCUUUGCUCUUCUGCAUCAUCUCUACUGGGGCCAGCACCAAAGAGCCAUUUCCAUCCAAACACCAGGUCUUAAAUCACACUCAUUUCCAGAGCCUUCAUCUAGUAGCUGAUGGAAGCAGAAGCAGAGACCCACAGCUAAAUACUGAGCUGAACUCUGGAAUCCAGUUGCAGAGAGGGAGGAAUGAUGAGCAAUGGGGUCAAGACCAGGCUGGAGAAACCCACAGAAACAGCUGACCUGAACAAGGGGGAGCUCAUGGACCCCAGACUGAUAGCUGGCAAACCAGCAUAGGACUGUUCCAGACCCCCUGAACCUGGAUGUCAGUUUAGAGGUCUGGGCAAACUACGGGGCCUCUGGUAGUAGAUCAGUAUGUAUCCCUAGUACAGGAAUGUACUUUGGGAGCCCACUCUACAUAGAAAGAUACUCUCUCAGCUUAGACACACAUGCAAAGGUCUAGGCCCUGCUCCAAAUGAUAUGACAGACUUUGAAGAUACCCCGUGGAAGGCCUCAUCCUCCCUGUAGAGCAGAAAGGGAAUGGGAUAGGGGAUCGGUGGGGGGCAGAAGAGGAGGGGAGGGAGAGGGAACUGGGAUUGACAUGUAGAACAAGCUUGUUUCUAAUUUAAAAUUAUAUAUUAUAUUAUAUCAUAUCAUAUUAUAUUAUAUCUGGCAUUGGAAAACUAGAAAAAAAAAAAAAACACCAAUGUGGAAAUGGCAUACAGGCUGCUGAAGAGCACCUAGCUUCAAAGUUUACUAUAAUAUUUUGAAACACUUUGCCAAAGAGCAAACAAUUGAUGUAAAGUCUUGCCAGCACUAUGCUAGCAAUAAUGGAUGAGACAGUAACACAGCCAUUUUCAAGGAAACUCCAUGUUAGUAAAGCAUCCACAUAACACAUAGUAAUGCCAGAUGAACCAGUGUGGGUGUGGUCGGUCCACAAGAACCUAUGUGGAUGCUGUGCGUUACUUUUAUUACUAUUGUUGGUUUGCGGUUGUUUUUUUUUUUUUUCAUUUCUUCCCAAGAGGGUAGCUUUGAUCUCAUCAUCUUUGAUGCUCUGACAUUCAUAUGUACUUGUUAUCUAUCUCUGGCACAUUUGCAUGAUCAUUAAUAAACCAGUCAAUCAACCUUCAUUUACUUUUGAAAAUACAAUAAGUAUAAUUGACUAAAUUAUAAUCCUGGCUAAACUGAUUCAUGGGGUCAGCCUCUGUCCUCCUUGUGAACAUUACAUUUUUCCAUUUAUCUGUCUUUCAAAAAGCAUUAUUCAAGUUGAGCACUGGGCUGGGCAUUAAGAGAGACAGAGAGUGAGAGAGAGAGAGAGAGAGAGAGAGAGACAGAGACAGAGACAGAGACAGAGACAGAGAGACAGAGACACACGGAGAGAAGGAGAGAGGCAGAGAGAGCAGAGACACUGCCAAUAUGGAGUUUCUUGUCUAGCUGGGGAGACUCAAAGUUAAAGGAAUGAAGAGUGCGAUUUUGUGCCAAAUGGCGCGAUAAGGGAUCGGAGUAUGCACAGUAAGGGGGUGUUUAGAGAAGCGUCACAAAGGGUGCCAAGAGAACAUUUGUCCUGAGAUGUUACGACUAAAUAUCAGAAGGUCAGGAAAAAUGAAAAGAAUUGAGGACCACAAAGAACAAAACAAUUGACUUAACCGGGAGAAGAAAGAAUGAGACAUUAAAAAAGUUUCAGAGACAGAUGGCUGGUGUGGAGAGAGCGUGCAGAGGGGGUAAAAACUCUCACUGGAGACAGACGCACACGAGGACAAUCUCUACUUCUGUUGUACAUCUUCUGUCUAGAGUCCUCUGCUACGGCCAUUUAUAGUUUUCAUAUGCAGGAGAGGGUAACUAAGC
This 2844-nucleotide long non-coding RNA is filed under the name Cricetulus griseus (Chinese hamster). Its description in RNAcentral is "lncRNA (ENSCGRG00015035299.1)". The record is from RNAcentral. Lineage: Eukaryota; Metazoa; Chordata; Mammalia; Rodentia; Cricetidae.